AACGCUAGCUACAGGCUUAACACAUGCAAGUCGAGGGGCAGCAUUUUAGUUUGCUUGCAAACUAAAGAUGGCGACCGGCGCACGGGUGAGUAACACGUAUCCAACCUGCCGAUAACUCGGGGAUAGCCUUUCGAAAGAAAGAUUAAUAUCCGAUGGUAUAUUAAAACCGCAUGGUUUUACUAUUAAAGAAUUUCGGUUAUCGAUGGGGAUGCGUUCCAUUAGUUUGUUGGCGGGGUAACGGCCCACCAAGACUACGAUGGAUAGGGGUUCUGAGAGGAAGGUCCCCCACAUUGGAACUGAGACACGGUCCAAACUCCUACGGGAGGCAGCAGUGAGGAAUAUUGGUCAAUGGACGAGAGUCUGAACCAGCCAAGUAGCGUGAAGGAUGACUGCCCUAUGGGUUGUAAACUUCUUUUAUAUGGGAAUAAAGUGGGCCACGUGUGGCUUUUUGUAUGUACCAUACGAAUAAGGAUCGGCUAACUCCGUGCCAGCAGCCGCGGUAAUACGGAGGAUCCAAGCGUUAUCCGGAUUUAUUGGGUUUAAAGGGAGCGUAGGCGGAUUAUUAAGUCAGUUGUGAAAGUUUGCGGCUCAACCGUAAAAUUGCAGUUGAUACUGGUAGUCUUGAGUGCAGCAGAGGUAGGCGGAAUUCGUGGUGUAGCGGUGAAAUGCUUAGAUAUCACGAAGAACUCCGAUUG
Molecule: ribosomal RNA, 695 nt
Filed under: uncultured bacterium
Lineage: Bacteria
Description: bacterial SSU rRNA
Rfam family: Bacterial small subunit ribosomal RNA
Source: RNAcentral